GUGGGGAAUAUUGGACAAUGGGGGAAACCCUUAUCCAGCGACGCCGCGUGAGGGAAGAAGGUUUUCGGAUUGUAAACCUCUGUCAGUGGGGACGAUAAUGACGGUACCCACGGAGGAAGCCACGGCUAACUACGUGCCAGCAGCCGCGGUAAUACGUAGGUGGCAAGCGUUGUCCGGAAUUACUGGGUGUAAAGGGAGCGUAGGCGGGAUGUCAAGUCAGAAGUGAAAAUUAUGGGCUCAACUCAUAACCUGCUUUUGAAACUGAUAUUCUUGAGUGAAGUAGAGGCAAGCGGAAUUCCUAGUGUAGCGGUGAAAUGCGUAGAUAUUAGGAGGAACACCAGUGGCGAAGGCGGCUUGCUGGGCUUUUACUGACGCUGAGGCUCGAAAGCGUGGGGAGCAAACAGGAUUAGAAACCCGGGUAGUCC
RNAcentral lists this ribosomal RNA (425 nucleotides) under uncultured Oscillospiraceae bacterium. RNAcentral describes it as "bacterial SSU rRNA". It matches the Rfam family "Bacterial small subunit ribosomal RNA", at positions 354 to 796 of the family's 1533-position model. Lineage: Bacteria; Bacillati; Bacillota; Clostridia; Eubacteriales; Oscillospiraceae. The record is from RNAcentral.